GUCGAGGGGCAGCGGGGGUAGCAAUACCCGCCGGCGACCGGCGCACGGGUGAGUAACGCGUAUGCAACUUGCCUAUCAGAGGGGGAUAACCCGGCGAAAGUCGGACUAAUACCGCAUGAAGCAGGGAUCCCGCAUGGGAAUAUUUGCUAAAGAUUCAUCGCUGAUAGAUAGGCAUGCGUUCCAUUAGGCAGUUGGCGGGGUAACGGCCCACCAAACCGACGAUGGAUAGGGGUUCUGAGAGGAAGGUCCCCCACAUUGGUACUGAGACACGGACCAAACUCCUACGGGAGGCAGCAGUGAGGAAUAUUGGUCAAUGGCCGAGAGGCUGAACCAGCCAAGUCGCGUGAGGGAUGAAGGUUCUAUGGAUCGUAAACCUCUUUUAUAAGGGAAUAAAGUGACCCACGUGUGGGUUUUUGUAUGUACCUUAUGAAUAAGGAUCGGCUAACUCCGUGCCAGCAGCCGCGGUAAUACGGAGGAUCCGAGCGUUAUCCGGAUUUAUUGGGUUUAAAGGGUGCGUAGGCGGCCCCUUAAGUCAGCGGUGAAAGUCUGUGGCUCAACCAUAGAAUUGCCGUUGAAACUGGGGGGCUUGAGUAUGUUUGAGGCAGGCGGAAUGCGUGGUGUAGCGGUGAAAUGCUUAGAUAUCACGCAGAACCCCGAUUGCGAAGGCAGCCUGCCAAGCCAUGACUGACGCUGAUGCACGAAAGCGUGGGGAUCAAA
Molecule: ribosomal RNA, 717 nt
Filed under: uncultured bacterium
Lineage: Bacteria
Description: bacterial SSU rRNA
Rfam family: Bacterial small subunit ribosomal RNA
Source: RNAcentral